RNAcentral lists this ribosomal RNA (317 nucleotides) under uncultured bacterium. RNAcentral's name for it is "bacterial SSU rRNA". It matches the Rfam family "Bacterial small subunit ribosomal RNA", at positions 28 to 330 of the family's 1533-position model. The record is from RNAcentral.
GAUGAACGCUAGCGGCAGGCUUAAUACAUGCAAGUCGUGGGGGCAGUCGAGGGGUGUAGCAAUACACUCGCUGGCGACCGGCAAACGGGUGCGGAACACGUACGCAAACCUACCCAAAACGUGGGGGAUAGGACCCGGGGAAACCCGGAUUAAAUACCUCGUAACAUAAUGGAGUGGCAUCAACUUUAUUAUUAUAGCUCCGGCGGUUUUGGAUGGCGUGCGCCUGAUUAGGUAGUUGGCGGGGUAACGGCCCACCAAGCCUGCGAUCAGUAACUGGUGUGAGAGCACGACCAGUCACACGGGCACUGAGACACGGG